Molecule: ribosomal RNA, 330 nt
Filed under: uncultured fungus
Lineage: Eukaryota; Fungi
Description: eukaryotic LSU rRNA
Rfam family: 5.8S ribosomal RNA (bases 1-109)
Source: RNAcentral
AGCGAAGGGCGAUAAGUAAUGUGAAUUGCAGUAUUUUCAGUGAAUCAUCGAAUCUUUGAACGCACUUGCGCUCCUUGGUAUUCCGAGGAGCAUGCCUGUUUGAGUGUCAAUUAAAUUCUCAACCCCACCGAUUUGCUUCGGGGGGAUUGGACUUGGAGCGUGCUGGCGAAGGUCGGCUCCUCUUUAAAUGCAUCAGUGGAGAGAAACUUGCCCCAGUGUGAUAAUCCUGUUGCGCUGUGGUGGGUGAAAGUCUGCUUCCAACCGUCCCUCCGGGGACAUACGUCAUCUUAUUUUGACCUCAAAUCAGGUAGGACUACCCGCUGAACUUAA